CGCCACCCGUCUGGGGCCCGAAAGGAGGGAGCUUUCCCUCUGUCCCCCAGCCUUUGGACUGUCACCAAACAAGCCAUUCGUUCACCAAAUACUUUUUAAGCGCCUACCAUGUGCCUGACAAGGGAUAUGUAACGGUGAGAAAAACUAGGUGUGGUCCAGGCCCUUCAGGGACUCAGGGGCUCGUGGAAGAAGUGGAUAUUGAAGUACUUAUCACACAAAGGAGGAUAAAAGUACGAUAGCGAUAUCUACCACGAAGCUGUUGUUCCACACCAGAACCAAAUGAGCGCAAGAUCUGACAAAAAAAAAAGGUUCAUCUUUUAUUCUUCCAAACACUUUCAUUUAAAUCAAGAGGAUGGGAUGUGGUUAUUACUGUGUUUUUAGACAAAAUCAAUGGUUUCUGGCUCUGAGAUGUUGCAUACACCCUCUCAGUCCCUGUAUCCUGAGAUGGAGUCACCUGAGAAUCCACAGCAAGUCCUAACCAGGGAUGGGUCUGGGUGAUUAAGGAAGAUUGGCUUCAGAACUGGGCCAGGGGCACUGCUUUGCUUUUGCUGUUUUGAUCAGCUCUCUGCCUGCAGGAGACGAGGAAAACCAAUGGGAACAGCCCAGUAAAGGCGCCAUUCCCCAUUUUACAGCUGGGGAAACUGAGUUACAGAGCUUUUCUGCACUGAGUCAUCAGGAGCAAAUGCUAGAUCAGGUAAUUGAACCCAAGCAAUCUGGUUCCAGAGCCAAAUAGAUGUAUGUUUUAUGGUAUACAAACAUAUACAUACAUUUUUAGGGGAAGGGUGGGGGUAGGAUGGGAUGAGGAUUAUGAGUAAUUGCUUGGUAAAUGCCAAAUACCUUUCUUGUCUGUCCCUCUUUUCAAAUGAUAAAGUAAUGUCAAUUGCACACUUUUUUUUUUUUUUUUUUGAGACAAGGUCUAGCUGGAGUACAGUGAUGC
RNAcentral lists this long non-coding RNA (937 nucleotides) under Homo sapiens (human). Its description in RNAcentral is "HSALNT0318159". The record is from RNAcentral. Lineage: Eukaryota; Metazoa; Chordata; Mammalia; Primates; Hominidae.